AUGAACGCUGGCGGCGUGCCUAAUACAUGCAAGUCGAGCGAACGGACGAGAAGCUUGCUUCUCUGAUGUUAGCGGCGGACGGGUGAGUAACACGUGGAUAACCUACCUAUAAGACUGGGAUAACUUCGGGAAACCGGAGCUAAUACCGGAUAAUAUUUUGAACCGCAUGGUUCAAAAGUGAAAGACGGUCUUGCUGUCACUUAUAGAUGGAUCCGCGCUGCAUUAGCUAGUUGGUAAGGUAACGGCUUACCAAGGCAACGAUGCAUAGCCAACCUGAGAGGGUGAUCGGCCACACUGGAACUGAGACACGGUCCAGACUCCUACGGGAGGCAGCAGUAGGGAAUCUUCCGCAAUGGGCGAAAGCCUGACGGAGCAACGCCGCGUGAGUGAUGAAGGUCUUCGGAUCGUAAAACUCUGUUAUUAGGGAAGAACAUAUGUGUAAGUAACUGUGCACAUCUUGACGGUACCUAAUCAGAAAGCCACGGCUAGCUACGUG
RNAcentral lists this ribosomal RNA (496 nucleotides) under uncultured bacterium. RNAcentral describes it as "partial 16S ribosomal RNA". It matches the Rfam family "Bacterial small subunit ribosomal RNA", at positions 29 to 507 of the family's 1533-position model. The record is from RNAcentral.